This 500-nucleotide ribosomal RNA is filed under the name uncultured bacterium. Its description in RNAcentral is "partial 16S ribosomal RNA". It matches the Rfam family "Bacterial small subunit ribosomal RNA", at positions 30 to 523 of the family's 1533-position model. The record is from RNAcentral.
AUUGAACGCUGGCGGCAUGCCUUACACAUGCAAGUCGAACGGCAGCACGGGAGCAAUCCUGGUGGCGAGUGGCGAACGGGUGAGUAAAGUAUCGGAACGUGCCCAGUCGUGGGGGAUAACGUAGCGAAAGUUACGCUAAUACCGCAUACGAUCUAUGGAUGAAAGCGGGGGAUCGCAAGACCUCGCGCGAUUGGAGCGGCAGAUAUCAGAUUAGGUAGUUGGUGGGGUAAAGGCUCACCAAGCCGACGAUCUGUAGCUGGUCUGAGAGGACGACCAGCCACACUGGGACUGAGACACGGCCCAGACUCCUACGGGAGGCAGCAGUGGGGAGUUUUGGACAAUGGGCGAAAGCCUGUUCCAGCCAUGCCGCGUGCAGGAUGAAGGCCUUCGGGUUGUAAACUGCUUUUGUACGGAACGAAAAGGUUUGGCCUAAUAAGCUGAGCUCAUGACGGUACCGUAAGAAUAAGCACCGGUUAACUACGUGCCAGCAGCCGCAGUAA